RNAcentral lists this long non-coding RNA (2543 nucleotides) under Mytilus galloprovincialis (Mediterranean mussel). The record is from RNAcentral. Lineage: Eukaryota; Metazoa; Mollusca; Bivalvia; Mytilida; Mytilidae.
CAAUAAUUGGCAGUAGAAAAACUCAAAUGAAAACUAUAACAAUGAAACUUAUAAUGAUUUAUUUUCAGACCAUUUAUUUAAUUAUUUUACAAAAACAUUUAGUUUACCAAAAAAAAAAAGGAAGGAAUUUGAUCAUGGGAACUCAUGAGAAUAAACGCUAUUUAACUAUUUCUGCUUGGAAUGUGCGUGGCCUUGGGGACAAAAUUCAAGAUGAUUUUUUUUAUAGAUAAAAUUCAAAGUGACAUAAAUAUAUUACUUGAAACCUGGAAAGGGGAGUGUAAAGAUUAUAAAAUAUCAAAUUAUAAUACUUUCUCAAAAAUACGCAAAAAGAAAAAAAAAAAGCACGUCGACAUAGUGGAGGAAUUAUUGUCUAUUACAAAAAAGAAAUAGCAAAAGGUAUAACCAAUAUUAAUGGUACAAAAUCACAAAAUAGAUUAUGGCUAAAACUUGAAAAGGAAUUCUUUGGUUUCAAAGAAGACUUAUAUUUUAUGUGCAUUAUACAUUCCCCCUAUAAAUUCAAACUAUUUUGAAAAUGAUUAUAGCUUUUUAGAAAAUGAGAUCAGUACUUUUGCAAGACAAGGAAAAAUACUUUUAAUGGGGGACAUGAAUGCAAGGACUGGUAAAUGUCCUGAUUUUAUUACAGGAGAUUCUUGUCAAAUAAAUAAUUUUGAUGCUAAAAAUCUAAUACCAAAUUAUUAUGAAGUUGACACUGAAAUUUCUAGAAACAAUCAAGAUAAUGUAACAAAUGUACAAGGUAAAUCCUUAUUAGAACUAUGUAUUGCCUCAAGGUUACGCAUAUUAAAUGGCAGAUUUAUAGGGGACAGCCUAGGCUACUAUACUUAUAUGUCAAUAAAUGGAUACAGUGCUGUAGAUUAUGCAUUAAUAAGUGAAAGUCUCCUGUCCUCAGUGAAAUACUUUAAAACUGAUGAUUUUACUUACUUGUCAGAUCAUGUACAGAUUCAGUUAACAUUAAAUUGUAAUAUAAAACAAACUUUUGACCUUAAAAGUCAUAUAGAAAAAAAAUGGAAAUAUUUGAAAAGAUAUAAAUGGACUGAAAAUUCACAUAACUUGCUACUUAAAGCUCUUAUGUCAGAGCAUAUAAAAAAUGAUAUAAUGAAGUUUGAAUUAAAUGAGUAUCAGGAAAAUCAAAAAGGGGUUGAUGGUGCAACUGAAAAUUUAACUAACAUUUUUGAAAAUAUCUCUGAUAUUACUUGUAAAAUUACAAAAAGAAUUAAAAGUAAGAGAAAAAAAUAUAGACAGGCAUGGUCAGACAAUUGUGUAUAUGAGACAAAAAAAGAAAUAAACAGGAUUGGAAAUAAACUUAAAAAAUGUCCAAAUAAUCAACUUAAACAGAAAUAUUUUGAAUUGUUAAAAAGUUUUAAAAAAAUGGUAAAAUUUAAAAAAGCACAAUACAGAGAGAAAAUAUUUAACUCAUUAACAGAUAGUUUUGAUAAGAAACCUAAAGAUUAUUGGGAAAUACUUAAAGGAAUGAAAAACAAAAAAAAUACUGGUAAUGAAGUGCCAGAAAUUUUAAAAGAUGAAGAAAUAAUUACGAAGCAUAUUCAGGACCAAGGAAAACCCACAUUUGUAAAUAUAAAAUGGAAAGAGGAAAUAGAAAAACAACUUGUUAAUAUUGAAAAAAACAUAAUAUCUAAUAGAGAAACAGAUGCUCCAAUAAAAUACUCUGAAAUAAAAAAUGUUAUUAGUAAGCUAAAAAAAAGAAAAAGUGCCUGGGCCAGAUACCAUUAUAAAUGAAAUAGUAAAAUUUAGUAAAAAUGUGUCUAUCAAAAGUAUUGUUAAACUGUUUAACCUUAUUUUGAAUACAGGUAUUUACCCAUCAAAAUGGAAAUACUCAUACUUAAUUUUAUUGCAUAAAUCAGGAGUAAAAACUGAUCCUAAUAAUUACAGGGGAAUAUCUCUGAUAAGUUGCUUACCAAAAUUGUUUAAUGCUGUAUUAAAUGAAAGAUUGAUUAAACUGAUGGAAAAUACUAUAAGUAAUACUCAAUUUGGCUUUAGAAAAAAUCACAGAACCUCUGAUAGUAUAUUUGUGCUUAAGUCUUUAAUAAACAAAUACUUACACAAAAAUAAAAAUAAAAUAUAUGCCUGCUUUGUAGAUUUAAAAAAGGCUUUUGAUUCUGUCUGGAGAAAAGCUUUACUUUAUAAACUGUAUAAGGCAGGAGCAGGGAAAAAAAUAUUUAAUAUUAUUAAAGGACAGUAUGAGGAAACAAAAUCUGCCUUCAAGCAUCAAGAGUGGCAUUCAGAAUAUUUUGAAAUCACACAAGGGGUUAAACAAGGGGAUUCAUUGAGUCCUACUUUAUUUAAUUUAUUUAUUAAUGAUUUAGAUGCAGAGUUUUCAAAUGAAAAUAGCUGUCCAUUAGAACUAAUUGAUACUAAAGUAGGAUCUUUACAAUUUGCUGAUGACCUUUUAAUAUUAUCUGAAAGUAAAGAAGGCCUACAAAAUAGUCUGAACAACUUAGAAAAGUAUUGUGAAAAAUGGCAAUUAACUUUAAAUAUUAAUAAAACUAAAACAAUGAUUCUGCAGC